CGAAUGCGCCGUUUGUACGUUGUGUCAUAAACAUGGAUCCCUUGCGUCAAUUGUAUAACUUGUGUUACAUUACUAAUUGUAUAACGAAGCAAUCGAAUUGCUUGUUUUUGAUGUAAUCGUGUGUAAAUUUUAAGACAUCGAUUAAUUUACCGUGGAAAGUGUAAGUUGGAGAAAUCAAAGUAACCGCGAAAGUGUGUUACUGAAUCGAGUGGUUCGAGAAAAUACAUGUUCGAAGUUGUGCGAGCAUAAUCAGGUUAGCUGAUCAACCGAUGCUUAGUGGCUGAUAUGUAUUCACUGGGAUAAUUCAUUGUCAAGCAAUUGGUGUGUGCAAUAAGCGUCCACAGCAUCGGAGUUUGUCAAAGUCCGAAAUACGGAAAUCCAGUCAGAUCGAUGGAUGGUUCGCGAAAGUCAGGUUGGAUGGCGAAUCUUCUCGAUGAUGGAACGACGUCGUGACAAAUAUUUUGGAUGGAAUAACGUACUGUCGACUUCAGUUUUGCUUGACGAGCCGAGAUUCCCUCUCACCUUACCUGUACCAUCAUUCUUGCCACGCAAAUCGUGUAAACGGAUCGACAAAGGAAGAUGUUUCAAGAACCGAUCAAACACGAUCCACCAAUGUAUUAACACCGAAUGGUGAACGCUGAAUACACUGUACGUACUAUGUACUAACCUAGCCGAACGUGCCAUAAGUGUUAUUUCGAGAGCACACUGACGUCUAAUAGCAUUACCAGAGAAUCGGACGUGGGUGGCGCAGUAACCGCGACAGUCUCGUAAUCCUGAUUAAGGGCCGGGCUUGAGGAGCCGUGUUUCUUGAGGAUUGGCUGCGAGGUCGCUUGGUCCCUCAUGCUGGCGGUUCUUUGCGGUUUCGAGGGUGCCAACGAGCUGCGCACCUCACCUGUAACAUCCUCCGCUGCUGCAGGCACGUCCGCCAUCGUCAAGCGCCAUGGGUUAGUACCACAAGACACAAGGCAUGUCACAAAACAGGCUAGCUAGCGUACUAGCGUGCUAGGAGAGACGGAAUUAUCGUUCCCGGCUAAAACACUAGAGACGCGCUAGCACGUACAUACGUAUGUGUAUAUCUAUGCAGAAAUGGACUGUUGUUGCGAGAGGACGAGGGCAAAGCGACAAAUCAGACACGUUGAUGAAUCACUCGAGGUCGUCGUAUCGACGAUUUCGGAUCGCUCUUCCGCUCGUCGGUGUUUCAAUCGUGAAUCAUUUUUUUCGAUAAAAUUCUUACGAAUACGACUACAGCGACUCCAUUUCCCCACAAUUGUUUCAUAUCGGAAAAAUUCAUCCAUCUUCGAGGUUUAAAUCAACUUUGUACCUGGCAGAUCCAUUCUCGCGGCUUUAUUAUGAACAGCGUGUUUUUGGCGAAUGGAAAUCGAGAAGAUAGGAAUACG
This is a long non-coding RNA of Bombus pascuorum, 1397 nucleotides long. RefSeq lists it as uncharacterized. The transcript has 4 exons. The record is from RefSeq and is a predicted model, not a curated record. NCBI's taxonomy places the organism in Eukaryota, Metazoa, Arthropoda, Insecta, Hymenoptera, Apidae.